Long non-coding RNA from Sinocyclocheilus rhinocerous, 473 nucleotides. RefSeq lists it as uncharacterized. NCBI's taxonomy places the organism in Eukaryota, Metazoa, Chordata, Actinopteri, Cypriniformes, Cyprinidae. The transcript is spliced from 3 exons. The record is from RefSeq and is a predicted model, not a curated record.
UCUUGACAGCAAGUGCCUAACAGGGGGUCUGUCUAUAUACAUGUGGAUGACACAACAUCUGAAAUAACAAUGUAUAUGUAAUCCCCGUGAAAGCAGACAGAUGUUGUGCAGCAGCACUGAAGAGGUGACCCCGGGUUCGAGCUCUGAGCCCACAUAACCUGAUCGACUACAGAGUACAGACACGUAAUCCAUAGACAGCAGGAUCCUCCGUCAUCUUCUGUACUGCUCACUUCACACGGGUCUGAUGAUGUCCGGAAAAGUCUGUGUCCAGGAUCAAGCACUGCCACUGAUACUAGUGCUCAAACAGCUGUGUUCACAGACACAACACCGACUGGAGCUCAGCGCCAGCUGAAUAUCAGUGGAGGAGCAGACAGGAUCAGCUCUUCUGUGGGUUCAUCUGUCCUCUCCUGGAGCUCCAGCACUCCACAUCUAAGGGCCACACCUGCACUCUCACACCAUGGCCGAACCCCUCA